This 301-nucleotide ribosomal RNA is filed under the name uncultured bacterium. RNAcentral describes it as "partial 16S ribosomal RNA". It matches the Rfam family "Bacterial small subunit ribosomal RNA", at positions 509 to 809 of the family's 1533-position model. The record is from RNAcentral.
CAGUAGCCGCGGUAAUACGUAGGGUGCGAGCGUUAAUCGGAAUUACUGGGCGUAAAGCGUGCGCAGGCGGUUCGUUAAGACAGAUGUGAAAUCCCCGGGCUUAACCUGGGAACUGCAUUUGUGACUGACGGGCUAGAGUAUGGCAGAGGGGGGUAGAAUUCCACGUGUAGCAGUGAAAUGCGUAGAGAUGUGGAGGAAUACCGAUGGCGAAGGCAGCCCCCUGGGCCAAUACUGACGCUCAUGCACGAAAGCGUGGGGAGCAAACAGGAUUAGAUACCCGCGUAGUCCCUGUCUCUUAUAA